This 61-nucleotide transfer RNA is filed under the name Boodlea composita. Its description in RNAcentral is "tRNA-Arg". The record is from RNAcentral. Lineage: Eukaryota; Viridiplantae; Chlorophyta; Ulvophyceae; Cladophorales; Boodleaceae.
CAUCCUGGCCUUAUCGGAAGGCUCUUCUAAAGAAGGUGGGGCUUUGCAACCACCGGGAUGU